UACGGGGGGGAGCAAGCGUUGUUCGGAUUUACUGGGCGUAAAGGGCGCGUAGGCGGCCAGCACAAGUCAGUUGUGAAAUCUCCGAGCUUAACUCGGAAAGGUCAACUGAUACUGUGCGGCUAGAGUGCGGAAGGGGCAACUGGAAUUCUUGGUGUAGCGGUGAAAUGCGUAGAUAUCAAGAGGAACACCUGCGGCGAAGGCGGGUUGCUGGGCCGACACUGACGCUGAGGCGCGAAAGCCAGGGGGAGCGAACGGG
RNAcentral lists this ribosomal RNA (256 nucleotides) under uncultured bacterium. RNAcentral's name for it is "partial 16S ribosomal RNA". It matches the Rfam family "Bacterial small subunit ribosomal RNA", at positions 524 to 776 of the family's 1533-position model. The record is from RNAcentral.